AAAAUCCUGCGAUGUGCGUUUCGGUUAUCGUGUUUUAAACCAAUGAUUGUUUCUAGGGAGACCUAUAUAGAAUUGCGGCUGACCUGCCCUCGAAAAGGGACUUCAAAACCGAUUCUGCGGUCACCCACCUGCUAGCGCAGGUUUGAGACAAGUUGACCGGACGGCAUAGGCGGGUUUUUU
This 180-nucleotide non-coding RNA is filed under the name Paenibacillus mucilaginosus. Its description in RNAcentral is "6S RNA". It matches the Rfam family "6S / SsrS RNA". Rfam says of the family: E. coli 6S RNA was the first non coding RNA to be sequenced, but its function was unknown until recently. The record is from RNAcentral. Lineage: Bacteria; Bacillati; Bacillota; Bacilli; Caryophanales; Paenibacillaceae. RNAcentral also lists the same sequence under 2 other names.